RNAcentral lists this long non-coding RNA (948 nucleotides) under Homo sapiens (human). RNAcentral describes it as "HSALNT0385156". Lineage: Eukaryota; Metazoa; Chordata; Mammalia; Primates; Hominidae. The record is from RNAcentral.
GCCAUUAAGCCAGGUAUAUUAUAAGGUAAGGAAUUUACUUGCACACAUGGCUAAAGCCUGUGUCCCAGGUGCGUGGAGAACACGGUCCCAGACUGAUCUGAAGGCCCCACGCUCCUUAUGGAACAUGAGAGCCACGGCGUGCACACCACGCAGUGGCCUGUUCUCACAGCCACGCCAUGGCUCACUGCCAUCUAAGGGUGUCAUCCUGCAAAAACAGCGGCUGCUGACACUGACAUUCUGUUUUUCCUCCUUUCAUAUCGCACUGUGCCCUGUACUCCAUUUCCUGCCUGUCUCCUAGGGGGCUCGGCUCCAUCAAUUAUCUCCUCUCUCCAGAAUCUCCAAUCACUCCUUCCCCACUGGCACUUUCCCCUCUUUGCCUGCAGACAUGCAUAAAUCUCUCCUACCUGGAAGAGAAGAAAGGAAGAAACAGGAAGGCGACCCGCUCCUGUGGCUCCCUCCAACCACAGCCCUAUUUUCUCCCUGUUUCGCUCAGAGAGAACCUGCCUGAGAAUGAAGCCAACACCGAGAACACGAGUCGAGAGAUGGAGGAUCCUGAUGACAACCUCUGAACUCCUGGAUCCAGCUGUGCCUAAAGUCAAACUCCUGGUGGCUUUCUGGCCUUUGCAUCCGCACGAGGCUUAACAUGUGGCAGAAGGAACUACCCAGAUGGAUUCUCGUGACUUCAGUUUAUGUGAUUUGAUUUCCACUGACUAAAAUGAAUGGCCUGGGUUGGUCUGCAAGCGCACCAAGGAGACAGCACCGAAUGUCACGUGUCAGGGAUGCUGCCUGAGUGUGCGAGGCAGGCAGGGACUUUGCUUUCAUUCUGCGUCUGCUUUCUAACCUAUUCUCCCUGAGUUGUACACUCUGGGUUUAAAAGCAGAGGAGUAGAUGGCCGGGCACGGUGGCUCACGCCUAUAAUCCCAGCACUUUUGGAGGCUGAGGUGGGUG